GACCGUAGCUGAAGUAUGUGCUGUAGGUGAAAGCACCCACACUGGGCCUGUAAAGAACUGCCUUUAUUUCAAAAGGAGGAAAAAGUAAUUGAAGCCUUAAGUUUGUGUAAUUGGUAUCUAUAUUUCAUCACUCAUUUGAGACUUAAAAGUAAUUAAAGCCUCAUAACUAAUGUUUUGUGUUCUCACAUUAGCUAAACCAAAGAAUCUAUUGAGUCUCAACACAGUACAGUAAGUUAAGAGAGCACAUUUGUGCCUUAGAGCAGUUAAAUAGAGGAGAAACCCAUGAACAGAGAUGAAACCCCAUUUACAGAGAAAUGAAACUCCAUCUCAUCUGACCUAUUGCGACUACUUAAAGGGGCUUUUAAAUUGUGAGUCACCAUUUCAGGGCAGGCCAUUAUGACAAAUCAGACAGAUGUGUAAGGGAAAGGUCCAUGGCCGGGUGUGGUGGCUCACGCCUGUAAUCCCAGCAGUUUGGGAGGCCGAGGCGGACAGAUCACGAGGUCAGGAGUUCGAGACCAGCCUCGCCAACAUGGUCACUCGGGCCAGCCCAGAUUCAAGGGUUGCUGGUUGGAGAAACAGGAUCCACCUCCCAGUGGAGGAGUGACUUCGGCAUCCAAGGAGGGAAGGAGUGGAUGGUGGCCCUCUUCAGAUGAGGCUGCCACAAUCACAAAUUCAUUCUUCUCCAUGGUAUCAGCAACCUUUAUAGUUACUUCUCACGGGUGUGGAAGGAGCAACGUUGGAAGGUGGGAGCUGAAGAGGUCUGGGAAGUGGUGUAUGGAGGGCCAAUGGAGUGGAUACAAAGCUCAAGGAUCGAGCCAGGUGCGGGGGGUCACACCUGUAAUCCCAGCAC
Molecule: long non-coding RNA, 850 nt
Organism: Symphalangus syndactylus (siamang)
Lineage: Eukaryota; Metazoa; Chordata; Mammalia; Primates; Hylobatidae
Source: RefSeq, a predicted model, not a curated record